AAAGUUUUUGGGUUUUCAAAUGUGGCCACAUAAGUUCGUAGCUUUCUGAAGGCCAACCAACAAAGAGAAAAGUGAUUCUUGCACAGGGAAUAAAGAGAGAGCGACUACAUGAGGGGUUUUCCGCGGAUGUUCACGGCAGUACUGCCGGCCGUCUACUACGGUGUAACCAAGAAGAUUCUGGGGUUGUAGAUGUAAAUCGGAGGACCUAAGCGGUGAUGUUGAUGUUUAGUUCGAGAAACCCUAAGCCACAAGAACCCCUCAUCUCUAAUCGGAGUGAACAGAAAAUGAUCGGCGAGACUAGGUGUUUUUGUGGCAAGGUCGUUCUUGAUGUUCUAAUGGUUGUCGACCAGCGGAGACGAAGGAAACAACCACACUGACGACGGCGAUGGUUAUCUAGGGUUCCAAAUGCUGGUUGAUGGCGGCGGUAGUUCCCACGAAGACCUACCUGCCGACUCUGGAGAUGUAAACCCUAAUUUUUUGGGUGAUCUGAGGCUUGGUGCCGGCGCCCGUUUCAACUUCUAGGCUCUAUGACGAAGAUCAUUGAUUGUUUGAGUUAAGCUUGAGAAGUAGUUGAAAAAUGGAGAUCAAAUAUUUCUGAAAUAAGCUUGAGCUUGAGAGGUUGAUGUAAAAGCAUGAAGAGAAACCCAAUCAUCAUAACAUCAAGGUUGAGUGUCCUGACCUGAAUUGCGUAGGGGUGAUAGCCUGAAGCAUGCAGAUACAUUGUUCCAAAGGAAGUCUUGGAAAGAUGGAAGAGCAUUUCGUGCGAGUCUGUGAUCAUGGAGUCUGAUAAGUUCUACCGCCCGUUUAAAGAUCGUUCUACAAUGUUGGUUGAUGAAGGUGGGGUUGCUGCUACACAAUAAGAAUGCCUGAAUUGCAACCGACUGAAAAUUUAAAAGAAAACAACUUAAAAUGAAUGAAGCAAAAAAGACUUUAGGUCUACAACCCAAUCCAGCACGAAAAAGCUUCAAGCAGCUGUUUUUUUGCUAAUAUUGUAGACCUAAAGAUCUUUUUUGCUUCAUUUGUUUUAAAAAUCCUGUUUUUUUGUUCUAUUUCAAUAAUUUUUAUAGAAAUUGAUCAGUUGAGUGUUUGGGUGGAGGUUUGAUCGGACCGAAUUCAAUAAGGUUUUGAACAAGAUGAUCGUGUUGAACAACAGAAGCAUUUUAUGGAACUUGCUUGCAAUUCUUGAAAAUAUUUUAUGUGUUUAAAAAAGUUUUUAUUUUUAGAUUUUCAGAUUUUUAAUAGGUGUCCAAUUCAUCUGGUGGAUGAAGAAUUGAUUGGUUAUUACCUUAAAGGGAAGGUCCAAGGGCUUGAAAUCGAACUUGAAGUGAUUCCGUUGGUAGAAUUGUUCAAAUGUGAUCCAUGGGGGUUGCCCGGUGAGCUUUGUUUUUUUAGCAACAUAUGAUGGUUUUAAUGCAUGCAAGGUGUUUUCUUUAAUGCCUCAAUGAAAAGUUCACUUCACAUGCGGUUGAAUUGAUUCAUUUUUAAAGUCUUGGUGUGUCUUUUUCUUUUAUGUCAAGAUUCAGAACUUUUUUUUAGAAAAUAAUAUGUUUAUAGAAUCUUUUAUUUAUCUUUAAAGAUGGGUCAUGCAAAGUAUAUAAUCGUUUACUAUGCUAUCCUUGGCACAUAAUAUAUAAUUGUUUACAUCGUUAGUUUGACCAUGUCUUUAAAAUGUAUAUAAUCGUUUACAUCGUUUGUUUGACCACAUCUAAUCAGCAUUAUAUGUCGCUCCGCGGAUUCGGGACAACAUAAUUCUCUAAAUAUAAUUAUUGCGGAUGGAUAUAAAUUGUUUAUUGUUAUAAUCUAAAGGUGUUAUCAAAGAACUCGCGUCUGCGGUGGUUGGCGUCGUUGUCGGUCAACGUGCCUGACUGGUCAAAGAUGCUGAAAGAAGAUUCGAGUGAAAUUCUGCGGCUAAAAGCCGAUUUUGACGAAUUUGAGUAUGAUAGUGCCGAAAAACGGAUUCUGUGGCAUAAGUUUAUGGCGAGACAGUUGGCAAGAACAAGGUAGUUUUCUGAUCAUGAAGGAGUUAUCAAUCCUUUUGGUGAUGCUAAAUGUGUAGAAUUAUGUUGGGUUUUUUGAAUAUAUCAUGACCACUUAUAAUAUUAAUACAAAUAUGAUGAUUAUCCACCUUUUUAUUCUUAAUAUAAAAAGAUUCUAUAUCACAUUCAACUAUCCUAAAGCAUGGUAUUGGUGCCUCUAUUUUUAUUGUUUGUACAUUCUUUGAUAAACUCAAAAAACCCAACAGACGCAUUUUGGUAUUAGUGAUUGCAUGUUAGAGCCUUUGCUUUUAAAAUUUUUACAUUUUUUGAAAGAAUAUGCUAUAGCAUAAUAGUUUUACUAUGCUCCUUUCGUUUUGCCAUUUUCUUUUACCAUCAGACACCUUUUGUCCUUAAAAGACAAUAGAGGUGCCAUAAAAUUCAUUGUCAACUGGGUCUUCAACAAAAAUGCCGAAACAACAAAUGCCGUUGGCACACCACCUGUCAAAUCCACUUCAGCUGCGACUCAAGCAACUCCAAUUCCUAAUACACCAGUUGCAACUGAAGAUGAACGCGCAUUCGCAAAACGAUAGCUUUUCCAAACACCAGGUAUGUACUUAUAUAGCUCACCAAUAAACUCACAUAGUUUACCUCAUUUAACAGCGCAAGGGUAUGACGGACAGAAAAAUGAGGUGUUCCUACUAGCAUGCCGGAGGCUAUGACGGUGCAGAAACGAAAGGCCUUUAAGUGCUAUAAUACUCUCUUUUGGAAGCUGAUCGAGUUAUUGGUGGGUUGUUUCCCAAGUGGAAGAAUAUAUCAUAGGAUAACAGGUCGAAUGGAGUUGAAGACAGAUUUCUAUGUAGGUCUCAUGGUGGUUAGGCUAUGCUCUGCUUUGGUGUCAGUUUCAAGUGUACAAUGUGUUCUCAUAUUCAUGUCAACUCUUAUCUAUUUGAUAAAUGGAAAAAUAUAAGAUUGUCGUGUUAAA
Long non-coding RNA from Helianthus annuus (common sunflower), 2958 nucleotides. RefSeq lists it as uncharacterized. The record is from RefSeq and is a predicted model, not a curated record. The transcript is spliced from 3 exons. Lineage: Eukaryota; Viridiplantae; Streptophyta; Magnoliopsida; Asterales; Asteraceae.